RNAcentral lists this unclassified non-coding RNA (233 nucleotides) under plant metagenome. RNAcentral describes it as "partial contains small subunit ribosomal RNA, internal transcribed spacer 1, and 5.8S ribosomal RNA". The stretch from base 1 to 54 matches the Rfam family "Eukaryotic small subunit ribosomal RNA", at positions 1778 to 1831 of the family's 1831-position model. The record is from RNAcentral.
GGAAGUAGAAGUCGUAACAAGGUUUCCGUAGGUGAACCUGCGGAAGGAUCAUUCAUAAUAAAGUGUUUUAUGGCACUUUUUAAAAAUCCAUAUCCACCUUGCGUGCAAUGUUAGAUCUCGUCAAUCUUGGCGAGAUUUUUAUACAUCAACUCAUUCUUUAACUAAUUUGUCUGAAAAAUAUUAUGAAUACUUAAUUCAAAAUACAACUUUCAACAACGGAUCUCUUGGCUCUC